ACCACUUCGGUGGGGAUUAGUGGCGAACGGGUGAGUAACACGUGGGCAAUCUGCCCUGCACUCUGGGACAAGCCCUGGAAACGGGGUCUAAUACCGGAUACUGAUCAUCUUGGGCAUCCAAGGUGUUCGAAAGCUCCGGCGGUGCAGGAUGAGCCCGCGGCCUAUCAGCUUGUUGGUGAGGUAGUGGCUCACCAAGGCGACGACGGGUAGCCGGCCUGAGAGGGCGACCGGCCACACUGGGACUGAGACACGGCCCAGACUCCUACGGGAGGCAGCAGUGGGGAAUAUUGCACAAUGGGCGAAAGCCUGAUGCAGCGACGCCGCGUGAGGGAUGACGGCCUUCGGGUUGUAAACCUCUUUCAGCAGGGAAGAAGCGAAAGUGACGGUACCUGCAGAAGAAGCGCCGGCUAACUACG
Molecule: ribosomal RNA, 416 nt
Filed under: bacterium M7A-320-16S
Lineage: Bacteria
Description: bacterial SSU rRNA
Rfam family: Bacterial small subunit ribosomal RNA
Source: RNAcentral